Molecule: ribosomal RNA, 1590 nt
Filed under: Triticum aestivum (bread wheat)
Lineage: Eukaryota; Viridiplantae; Streptophyta; Magnoliopsida; Poales; Poaceae
Description: partial small subunit ribosomal RNA
Source: RNAcentral
AUGGUGCCGCCUCCCAAGAACAUGCCAGUACGACGCCCACGAGAGGUAGAAGAAGAAGUCAGUCCACUAGAGCCACCUGACAUUGAAGCUUACGUUCUGCCAAGGCUAGAGAUGUGGUUUGAAAAUUUCGAAGAAACAAAGAACUUCUACAACGUAUAUGCGAAGCACGUGGGUUUUGCUGUCAGGGAAGGCCCCAAGUUUAAGACCAGAGCCUACCUUUAUUGCACGUGCUAUGGAGUUUAUGAAUCCAAGGUGUCUGAAGCAAAUAGACAGCGUAACAAGAUGACAGCCAGAACUAACUACGGGGCUAAAAUGAGGCUGAAGAAGGAAAAGGAUGGAACAUUUGUCAUAAAAGAGAUAGUCCGGGAACACAACCACAGGCUACAACCAACCACAGAAAUGCUUGUCUUCUUGUGCAUGAGAGGGAAGGCUCCUACAUGCAUCCUCACAGACCAGUGCCCGGCAAUGGCUUUGGUGAUCCCAGAUGUUUUCAAGAACACAAUACAUAAGUUAUGCCGCUGGCACAUUAUGAAGAAGUACAGGGAACACCUCGCGUACCUGUACUACCUGCACGAUGACUUUAAGGAUGAAUUCACAUCAAUGCUCAACUGGCCCCUCAUGCCAACUGAGUUUGAGGAUGCCUGGAAAAGACUCAUGGAUAAGUACAACCUCCACGAUGAUGCCACAAUGGUGGGCAUGUGGAACGAGUGGGAGAGAUGGAUAUCAGCCUACUUCAAAGAAAUUUUCUGUGCCAAAAUGACAUCCACACAGCCAAGUGAGAGCAUGAACUAUGUGCUCAAGAAGAACUUCGUAAGUGAGAGACAAAACCUACACCGGUUUGUCAGCCAAGUAAACUCCUGCAUCAAAACCAGGAGGCAGACAGAGAACCAGGAAACAAUGGGUAACCAGAAGGAACAAAACACGCUGACCUUCUAUGGGUUUGACACCCAGAUGGCAAAGCUCUACUCACGAGUUGUGUACAGCGAGAUCAGAAAUAGGCUAAAACUAAGCACACUCUUCACGGCGACAAAGACGGAAGAGCCCACAAAGUACCUCGUGCGCUACAACCACCCGCAAAAACUGCCUGUGUGGGCUCAACAUGCGUUCCAGGUGGUUGCAGACCCCGUGGGAGAAACAUAUGAGUGCGAGUGCAGGCUAUGGGAACACACAGGUCUUUUCUGCGUGCAUGUCAUGUGCAUGAUGCAGACAAUUAAGGCUGCCAGCGUUCCAGAGAAAUACAUCCUCAGGAGAUACACCAAACACCCGAACAUCCAGCCAACAUUCAACAGAAAUGAUUUGAGGAUAGUAGCGUCAAACAAGGCAUCCCAAUACUACAUUGAAAGCUCACUGCUGACGCUGAACAUGAGGGUGCACAGAAAAAGCUUGAGAAGCCAAGAGCAAAUGGCGAGGUCACGGGUCGUCAUGGACAAACUUGAACAAGAACUCAACGCCAUGCAUUCUACUGAAAAUGGAGGUGUCGCGAACAAUGAAGCCAUUGAGCAGGAUAUUGCUACAAUGUUAUCCGAGAUGAACCAUCUGGGAUCUAUUGACCCAUUCGACAAUGAGGAAGAGGAGCAGCGGCAACCGUAG